AUUGAACGCUGGCGGCAGGCCUAACACAUGCAAGUCGAACGAGUGGCGGACGGGUGAGUAAUGUCUGGGAAACUGCCCGAUGGAGGGGGAUAACUACUGGAAACGGUAGCUAAUACCGCAUACCAUCGGAUGUGCCCAGAUGGGAUGAGCUAGUAGGUGGGGUAAUGGCUCACCUAGGCGACGAUCCCUAGCUGGUCUGCGAGGGUGACCGGCAACAAUGGAACUGAGACACGGUCCAGACUCCUACGGGAGGCAGCAGUGGGGAAUAUUAGGCAAUGGGCGAAAGCCUGAUCCAGCCAUGCCGCGUGAAUGAAGAAGGCCUUCGGAUUGUAAAGCUCUUUCGGCGGGGAGGCGGUACUCGCAGAGGAAGCCCCGGCUAACUCCGUGCCAGCAGCCGCGGUAAUUC
RNAcentral lists this ribosomal RNA (406 nucleotides) under uncultured bacterium. RNAcentral describes it as "partial 16S ribosomal RNA". It matches the Rfam family "Bacterial small subunit ribosomal RNA", at positions 30 to 526 of the family's 1533-position model. The record is from RNAcentral.